This 104-nucleotide ribosomal RNA is filed under the name Mesocricetus auratus (golden hamster). Lineage: Eukaryota; Metazoa; Chordata; Mammalia; Rodentia; Cricetidae. The record is from RNAcentral.
GUCUAUGGCCAUACUACCCUGAACAUGCCUGAUCUCUGGUCUCAGAAGCCAAGCAGGGUUAGGUCUGGUUAGUACUUGGAUGGGAGAAAUAAAAGUUUUAGGGU